AAUCAACGCUGGCGGCGUGCCUAACACAUGCAAGUCGAACGGGGAAAGCCUUCGGGCGAGUACUAGUGGCGCACGGGUGAGUAACACGUGGGUAAUCUACCUUAAAGUGGGGAAUAACCAGUCGAAAGACUGGCUAAUACCGCAUAAGGCCACAGGAUCUGCGGAUCUAGGGGUUAAAGGAGCAAUUCGCUUUAAGAUGAGCCCGCGCGGGAUUAGCUAGUUGGUGAGGUAACGGCUCACCAAGGCUCUGAUCUCUAGCUGGUCUGAGAGGAUGAUCAGCCACAC
RNAcentral lists this ribosomal RNA (285 nucleotides) under uncultured bacterium. Its description in RNAcentral is "partial 16S ribosomal RNA". It matches the Rfam family "Bacterial small subunit ribosomal RNA", at positions 32 to 313 of the family's 1533-position model. The record is from RNAcentral.